CCCUUAGAUGUUCUGGGCCGCACGCGCGCUACACUGAUGCAUUCAACGAGUCUAAAACCUGCUCUGAUAGGGGUGGGUAAUCUUUUGAAUGUGCAUCGUGAUUGGGAUAGAUGAUUGAAAUUUUUCAUCUUCAACGAGGAAUGCCUAGUAAACGCAAGUCAUCAGCUUGCAUUGAUUACGUCCCUGCCCUUUGUACACACCGCCCGUCGCUCCUACCGAUUGAAUGAUCCGAUGAAUAUCAUGGAUUGAGGACGCAAGUAGGUUCACCUAUCUUCAUCUUCGAGAAGUGAAGUAAAUCUUAUCAUUUAGAGGAAGGAGAAGUCGUAACA
This 329-nucleotide ribosomal RNA is filed under the name uncultured eukaryote. RNAcentral's name for it is "partial 18S ribosomal RNA". It matches the Rfam family "Eukaryotic small subunit ribosomal RNA", at positions 1470 to 1796 of the family's 1831-position model. The record is from RNAcentral.